CGGUAUAAUCUCAUCAAAGAGAUAAUACAUAAAAAUGACGUAAAGAGAAGAGCAAAUUUUCACAUUUAAUAAUAUUGCAGAUCCACUGACAAAGAGUUGUCGUAGUAUAAACAUGAUCGUCAUGUAGACUUAUGAUAUUUGAUACAUAAGUGAUUGGAUCUAGUGCAAGUGGGAGUUUGUAAGUAUUAUGCCCUAGGUCCA
RNAcentral lists this long non-coding RNA (201 nucleotides) under Olea europaea (common olive). RNAcentral describes it as "long non-coding RNA (OEUR_LNC006307)". The record is from RNAcentral. Lineage: Eukaryota; Viridiplantae; Streptophyta; Magnoliopsida; Lamiales; Oleaceae.